ACAAACAAAUACCGCUAUCCCUUUCCCCUUUCUCAUUUCAAAUCAUUAUUCAAUUCCUCCCUCUCUGUUUGCAGCCGGCGCGAGAUCAACUAUCGCCUGAAUUCUACUGCCGGAGUCCUCAUCCAACAUCACUCCUCAAGUCAAUCAAUUAAUAGGAUUUGUUAAUCGUCGUUCCACGAACACCGCACCUAAAACACAAGGUCGCUGCGAAGCUAACUCUCAGUUAUUUCCCGAGCUACUAUCAAUUGGAUUUUUGCAAAAAAGGCACGCAAAAAGGCCCAAAAGUAGGUUGAUCUUCACUAUUUAUGGGCCUUUCAAGAUUCCCCAAAACACCUUUCUACUAUGAUUAGCAUUGCAUGAGAGACUCUCCAUCAUGGAUCGGCCGUGGCUUCAUCACCUCCAUGGUGAGUGCGUAUUAUGUUCCAGUGGCACCCUUGAGACUCAGCAACACCUAUUCUUUUGUUGCCCAUACACUAGACAGUGUGUUCGACUGUUGCGACGUGAGAUCCGCUUCUCUUAGACCACUAGAGGAUGAACCAUUGACGUAUUGAUUGCUGCACGGAGAUGGAGGGGGAAGCAUGUUAUCAAUGCUGCUUAUCGCAGUCUUUUGGCAUUCCUUGUGUAUCACAUUUGACAAGAAUAGAAUCGACGGAGAUAUCAACAACUGAUCGUGAUGCAUUAUCCCUCGCUCGGAUUAUUCUUGCCGGCACGCGAUCAACCGCCUCCUGAGUUCUACCGCCAGAGUCUUUAUUCGUCAUCACUCCUCAAGUGAGUCAAUUAAUAAGAUUUGUUAAUCGUUGUUGCGCGAAGCCAACUCUCUGUAAUUUCCCUAGCUACCAUCAAUCGGAUUUCUGCAAAAAAGGCUCACAAAAAGGUACCAGACUUUUUGGAGGACGCGAGGUAGCCGAUGACCUGCGACCCGGAUCAGGGGGAGUGCCACUUUCACGGAUUGCAACGCGUUCUUGGGCAUCGCGGACAGCGGCCGCGAGCUGUGACAUUUGAAACCACUGG
Sesamum indicum (sesame) is the source of this 1011-nucleotide non-coding RNA. Lineage: Eukaryota; Viridiplantae; Streptophyta; Magnoliopsida; Lamiales; Pedaliaceae. The record is from RefSeq and is a predicted model, not a curated record.